CCUACGGGAGGCAGCAGUGGGGGAUAUUGCACAAUGGGGGAAACCCUGAUGCAGCGACGCCGCGUGUGGGAAGACGGUCCUCUGGAUUGUAAACCACUGUCCCCAGGGGCGAAGAUGACGGUACCUGGGGAGGAAGCUCCGGCUAACUAAGUGCCAGCAGCCGCGGUAAUACGUAGGGAGCGAGCGUUGUCCGGGAUUACUGGGUGUAACGGGAGCGUAGGCGGGUAUGCAAGUUGGGGGUAAAAACUACCGGCUCAACUGGUAGUCGCACUCAAAACUGCAGCUCUUGAGUGAAGUAGAGGCAGGCGGAAUGCCUGGUGUAGCGGUGAAAUGCGUAGAUAUUAGGCGGAACACCAGUGGCGAAGGCAGCCUACUGGGCUAUUACUGACGCUGAGGCUCGAAAGUGUGGGGAGCAAACAGGAUUAGAUACCCCAGUAGUC
Molecule: ribosomal RNA, 440 nt
Filed under: uncultured bacterium
Lineage: Bacteria
Description: partial 16S ribosomal RNA
Rfam family: Bacterial small subunit ribosomal RNA
Source: RNAcentral